RNAcentral lists this ribosomal RNA (46 nucleotides) under fungal endophyte sp. P38-006. RNAcentral's name for it is "partial 28S ribosomal RNA". The record is from RNAcentral. Lineage: Eukaryota; Fungi.
GUUGACCUCGGAUCAGGUAGGAAUACCCGCUGAACUUAAGCAUAAU